Rosa chinensis is the source of this 830-nucleotide RNA transcript. It is a transcript of the gene named 25.3 kDa vesicle transport protein-like, with no coding region annotated. The record is from RefSeq and is a predicted model, not a curated record. NCBI's taxonomy places the organism in Eukaryota, Viridiplantae, Streptophyta, Magnoliopsida, Rosales, Rosaceae. The transcript has 5 exons.
GGAGGCAAAGAUAUGCCUCGAUUCAAUUAGCUGCAUUUUUGCCUAUAAAAUUUACCAAACAUGGCUUCAGUAAUUGCCACCAAAUCUUGCCUCUAUUCAAUUAGCCAGGUACGUCCCUUUCUCAAUGAGCUUUCAUUUCAGUUCAAUGAUGUUUAUGUUCUGUAUUUCAAUACCAAAUAAUACUGGUUUUCUUUUCUUUUCUGUGUAUGGAUAUGUGAUCAAUGGAUGUUUGACGCUGCAAGUUAAUAAUUUCGUCAGGCUUUCAGUAGGGAGCUUUAGCACCUGCAAGACCAUAUAUGCUUUUAUUAAAUUCGAUACAUUCAUACAGAGAACCAAGAAAUUGUACCAGGACACUUGUACUCAGCGGACUAUUUCAAAGUUGAAUAAUGAACUCUAUGAAGUCCACCAAAUAAUGACUUGCAAUGUUCAGGAAGUUCUUGGCGUCGGUGAAAAGUUGGACUAGGUCAGCCAAAUGUCUAAUCGUUUAACAUCAAAGUCUCGUGCAUAUGCAGAUAAGGCAAGAGACUUGAAUCAACAGGCUCUGAUCCGUAAGUGGGCUCCUGUUGCCAUGCUAUGCAGGUGCUAAAGCUCUCUACAAAAUAUCUAAAAGAGGACUUUCAUUUCUAGUGACGAGUUCCAAGUGCAAGGGAAGAAGAGAUUCCAAGAUUUAGGGAAGUGAUCAAGAGGAUGCCAAAAACAAAAUUGAGGAGGAUCCCUAAACUCUUUUGAAUUAGUAUAUAGUAUUGAUAUAACUACUUUGAAUUAUUACUUAUUGUAAGGGAAUACUUUGAGUUAUUACUUUUAAUUUUAGUAUAUAUUUCUUUUGUCUA